CAUUUAUUAGAUAAAAAGCCAGUUCAUGCUUUUAUAGUAUGAAAAUUGGUGAUUUAUAAUAACUUAGCAAAUCGCAAAGUGAAAACAGGCGAUAAAUCAUUCAAGUUUCUGACCUAUCAGCUUUCGACGGUAUGGUAUUGGCUUACCGUGGCAGUGACGGUUAACGGGGGAUUAGGGUUCGAUUCCGGAGAGGGAGCCUGAGAAACGGCUACCACAUCUAAGGAAGGCAGCAGGCGCGCAAAUUACCCAAUUCUAACAGUUUGAGAGAGGUAGUAACAAGAAAUAACAAUACAAGGCAGUUAAAAUGCUUUGUAAUUGGAAUGAUAGAAAUUUAAACCCUUUUUAAAGUAUCAAUUGGAGGGCAAGUCUGGUGCCAGCAGCCGCGGUAAUUCCAGCUCCAAUAGCGUAUAUUAAAAUUGUUGCAGUUAAAAAGCUCGUAGUUGAAGUUCUGCUGAAAGUAACCGGUCUGCUUUUAAUAAAAGUGGUAUCUUGGUAUGUAUUUAGCAAUGAUGUCCUUUGAAGUGUUUUUUACUUUAUUGUAAUAAAGCAUAUUCAGGACUUUUACUUUGAGAAAAUUAGAGUGUUUCUAGCAGGCUAACGCUUUGAAUACUGCAGCAUGGAA
This 622-nucleotide ribosomal RNA is filed under the name Hepatozoon canis. Its description in RNAcentral is "bacterial SSU rRNA". It matches the Rfam family "Eukaryotic small subunit ribosomal RNA", at positions 203 to 814 of the family's 1831-position model. Lineage: Eukaryota; Apicomplexa; Hepatozoidae. The record is from RNAcentral.